AUUCUGGAUUCGACAGGAUUCACGAAACCCUGGGAGCAUGCCGAGGGGCGGUUGGCCUCGUAAAAAGCCGCAAAGUUAUAGUUGCAAACGACGAUAACUACGC
This 103-nucleotide transfer-messenger RNA is filed under the name mosquito metagenome. Its description in RNAcentral is "transfer-messenger RNA Shewa_oneid_MR1". It matches the Rfam family "transfer-messenger RNA", at positions 9 to 115 of the family's 374-position model. From Rfam's summary of the family: Bacterial tmRNA, also known as 10Sa RNA or SsrA, is named for its dual tRNA and mRNA-like properties. Its role is to liberate the mRNA from a stalled ribosome. The record is from RNAcentral.